UGAAAGUGUCUCAGGGGAAUCGACGCGAU
Molecule: small RNA, 29 nt
Filed under: Bombyx mori (domestic silkworm)
Lineage: Eukaryota; Metazoa; Arthropoda; Insecta; Lepidoptera; Bombycidae
Description: ovarian small RNA-306
Source: RNAcentral